AACAGGAUGGCCAAGUGGUUAAGGUGUUGGCAAUAAGAUCCAAUGGAUGUGUGCCCAUGUGGGUUCAAACCCCACUCCUGGUA
RNAcentral lists this transfer RNA (83 nucleotides) under Scleropages formosus (Asian bonytongue). It matches the Rfam family "tRNA". From Rfam's summary of the family: Transfer RNA (tRNA) molecules are approximately 80 nucleotides in length. Their secondary structure includes four short double-helical elements and three loops (D, anti-codon, and T loops). The record is from Rfam by way of RNAcentral. Lineage: Eukaryota; Metazoa; Chordata; Actinopteri; Osteoglossiformes; Osteoglossidae.